This 391-nucleotide ribosomal RNA is filed under the name Rousettus amplexicaudatus (Geoffroy's rousette). RNAcentral's name for it is "partial 12S ribosomal RNA". It matches the Rfam family "Bacterial small subunit ribosomal RNA", at positions 794 to 1382 of the family's 1533-position model. Lineage: Eukaryota; Metazoa; Chordata; Mammalia; Chiroptera; Pteropodidae. The record is from RNAcentral.
GCUUAGCCCUAAACCCAAGUAGUAUUAUAAUUAACAAUAUUACUCGCCAGAGCACUACUAGCAACAGCUUAAAACUCAAAGGACUUGGCGGUGCUUUAUAUCCCUCUAGAGGAGCCUGUUCUGUAAUCGAUAAACCCCGAUAAACCUCACCAGCCCUUGCUAAUACAGCCUAUAUACCGCCAUCUUCAGCAAACCCUAAAAAGGAACCAUAGCAAGCAAAAUCAUGCAACAUAAAAACGUUAGGUCAAGGUGUAGCCUAUGAGCUGGGAAGAAAUGGGCUACAUUUUCUAGCAUAGAACACAAACGAAACUUUUCGUGAAACCGAAAAUGGAAGGAGGAUUUAGUAGUAAAUUAAGAAUAGAGAGCUUAAUUGAAUAAGGCCAUGAAGCAC